GCUCACAAUAUAAUGCAGCAAGCACAUCUCGAUGGAGAGCUGGUUGGCCAAAAGAAUGUCAAUGUUGCUCACAUUAUCUCUUUUCAAGAUGCACUUUAAUCCAUUAGCCUUGUUUUUUAAUUUGGAAAAAUAAAUACCUACCUCGGCAUAGCCAAAAGAUGUCCCAAACUUCUCCUGCUCAAGACAACCAAAACACCCUUAAUUAUGGAUU
RNAcentral lists this long non-coding RNA (211 nucleotides) under Elaeis guineensis (African oil palm). RNAcentral describes it as "long non-coding RNA (EGUI_LNC033384)". Lineage: Eukaryota; Viridiplantae; Streptophyta; Magnoliopsida; Arecales; Arecaceae. The record is from RNAcentral.